UAUAUGUAUAUGUAUAUAUAUAUGUAUAUAAUAUGAGACCGUAGAAAUGUCGUUUCCCUUUAUUCUUUUUUUACGCUACGUCCGUAUAUGCUUCUCAGACGUGCCGGAAGUCGCGAGAUUCUAUCGAAGGAUCGUCGGAUCGGUGUAUAUUCCAAACAGCACACGAUAUCCCAUGGACGUUCUGUAUAUCGUCUUUAGUAUAUCGGGACGUCCUCAGGACGUCCCUAGGAGAUCUGCGCUGUCUGGAUAUAUAUUCAAUGCACGUGUACGUAUGUGUGUGUGUGUGUGUAUGUGCGUAUGUGUAUGUCGAAUAGGUACAAAAUCGAUUCGGUACAAAAUCGUCCCUUCGUGUAUCACUUUUUUUUCUUUUCGUAAUACGGUACAACUGCGUGUCCGCAGACACGGAAUCUCGGGUACACGCUUAUAAAACAGAAUUCCACCGUAUUAUCAGUAAAUUUAUCGCUGCGCAGAUACGAUCUCGGUGGAUAAGAGAUCCUAUGUAUGUAUGUGUGUGUAUGUUGCGUAUGUGUGUGUUUACGCCGCGAAAAGAGGACCGGCGCUCGUUUUGUCGCUAAUUUAACUUUUUUUUCUUUCCUUUCUUUUCGCAAUUCUUACGACUACGAGGAGCGUAGAACACUUAAGAAGAGCGAUCGUCGCGAUUUCUCCUCCUCUUCUCUCCCCUCCCGUGAGAAUUUAUAAAAUGCGAGAACAAGAGGUCAGACUUUGUACUUUCGUAUUGCACUUUGUCGUGUAUAUAUCUCAAUGACACGUUGGAGUUCUUAAAGAGUAUAUAUAAUAAUCCUACGCAGUUCGCGCGCGAGAGAGAAACCUGUUUUUGCUCUACACGUGCGACACACAGUUUUUCGCCGAUGAAAUAAAUAGGAGCGCACAAGUCGAGAAAAUAAACUACCGUCUAAGGAAUCCUUUCCCCCUUCUCGUUCGAGCUCUUGCACGAGACGACGCAUCGUUAUUCCGACACGCGCUGUCAGACAAUAGAGCGUGCCUCUUAGCCAAACGACACGAAAAUCCAAAAGACGUCGUCCACAGAUGGCGUCUUGAGGAUUGGGACGCCCGGAGAGGACAGCUAAAUAACGUCUCGAAAAAUUGAGGGAUUUCUUCUAAAGGGUGUCUAAACGACGCCUUAAAAAAUCAGGACGUCUAAAAGGUGUCUAAACGGCGUCUGAAAAAUUCGGUACGCCUAAAAGAUGCCUAAAUCUCGAGAAUCUCUCGAUCACGCCCGGAGAUGUGUUCGCGCGACGUCUCGAAAGAUUGAGAGAGAGAUGUCUAAAAGAUGUCUAAACAGAUGCCUCCGGAAUCUGGGACGCACCAAGGACGUCUGACGAAUUUUUAACGCUUGAACGAGGUCCUCACAACAUGUCUCUCUUAGACAUACGCGAGCAGAAGACAUUUGUGAAGUCUGGGUAGUUCGUAGUACGAAACGUUGCUGGUAUGCGGAUGGAUUACUUUUACAGCGGCCGCGAGUAUUAAUAGAAUGUUCGGAAAUUUCGAUAUCGUUAUACGGACUAUCGCCGAUUACACACAGGUACUAUUUCCCUGCUUGCGGGAACCCGCGCUAAAGUUGCCGGAAAUAUAUAUAUAUAUAUAUAUAUAUGACAUAUAAUAUGUCGCGGAGCAAAGUUCUCUCCUUUAUGCUAAACACGCCUCAACAUCUCUCCGCAUCGUCCGUUUAUUAUGUUAUCGCAUAAACGAAACGAUGCUGAUUUGCUCUAUACGCCUUAUCGUCUAUUUAAUAGUUUAUUUUCUGCGGCGUGCGUGUAAGUGGCGUGUGUGUGUGUGUGUGUGUGUGUGUGGAUAGAUAGAUAGAGAUAGAUGUGUGUGUGUAUAUGCGUAUGCGUGCACGUUAUAGAUAUUGUUCGUAUCGCGAGAGUGGUAUUGCUCGUUCCCGUUCGCCUUUACGACUUUCGUGUUUUCGUACUAAGUUAAGAAUAGAACAACGCCCGCACGCGCGCGCACCCGCGCGACAUCGCGGUACGUAUGUUACACCCGGUGAUAACGGCACCGCUGAUAAGACACGCGUCGCUGGGAAUUGACGAAAAUACGCGAGCAAUUUUCGGUCGGUGGCGAGUCGAGACGACGACGACGAGGAAUUUCGUAACUAAUUCGCCGCCGAACAUCACACGCGCGGGACUCGAGAGCGUAUAGCGCACACGCAUGCACACGUGUAGGUCAUAUCAGCUAGCACUUACACACACACAAAUCAUAUUUCGAAAGUCAGACUAAACAUAUGUAUAUAUAACAACGGAGAUAAUAUUUCGCGAAACGCACGAUGAAAAAGUCACUUCCGACGUCUGCGCUGCGAAGCGCUUAACAUAAGCGAGCAUCGGCAUCUUGUUUCGACGCACAGUGUCAUGAUUAUACUCGUAAGCGCGACGCAAUCUCGAAUAUCGUACACAUCGUCGCGACUUCAAAAGUAAUACAUUUGCUCCUUUCUGUUUCAUCCCGCUUGCAAUUAAAUCAGGCAUCGUAUGUACUCUCCAUUUUUAUUUGCGAUAUAUUUCUUUCAUUCGAAAUUAAAAUACAUCUCUCGCUCUCUCACCACACACACACACACACACACACACACACACACUCUCUCUCUCUCUCUCUCUCUCUCUCUCUCUCUCUUUUCCACCCGAGAAAUCAAGAUACAUCCUAAGUCAUGGCAGUUACAAUGAUUCGUCGAAAUCGUUUUAUUAUACAGACUUCAAAUGUGUAUUCUCAAAAAACCGAGCUGUAUGCAAUUAUAAGUAUUAUACGAAGUAUCUUUAUACGUUACGUCCUAGAUAACUCUACGAUAAACUGCGUUUGUAUGUGUGUGUACGUGUUUCUCGCGUGUUUAUGAAAAACAUAGAUUAUUACAUUCUUUAUCUUAGGUGGGAUGCUUAGAUUAUUGUAAUAUUACAAUGUAACGGUAUGCGUGUCUUAUGUAUAUUGACCGAAUGUUACAUAGGGCAUUAUAUAUGUGUAAUAUAAUGUCAUAUAUAUAUGUAUUGUAUAAUGCCCUACGUAAUGUAUAAAUAUAUAUAUAUUUAUAUUUAUAUGUGUAUGUGUAAUGAAGGUAUCUAUAUUCUA
Long non-coding RNA from Dinoponera quadriceps, 3072 nucleotides. RefSeq lists it as uncharacterized. The record is from RefSeq and is a predicted model, not a curated record. NCBI's taxonomy places the organism in Eukaryota, Metazoa, Arthropoda, Insecta, Hymenoptera, Formicidae. The transcript is spliced from 2 exons.